This 460-nucleotide ribosomal RNA is filed under the name uncultured bacterium. Its description in RNAcentral is "partial 16S ribosomal RNA". It matches the Rfam family "Bacterial small subunit ribosomal RNA", at positions 338 to 795 of the family's 1533-position model. The record is from RNAcentral.
CCUACGGGUGACAGCAGUGAGGAAUAUUGGUCAAUGGACGAGAGUCUGAACCAGCCAAGUAGCGUGAAGGAUGACUGCCCUAUGGGUUGUAAACUUCUUUUAUAAAGGAAUAAAACGAGGCACGUGUGCCUUUUUGUAUGUACUUUAUGAAUAAGGAUCGGCUAACUCCGUGCCAGCAGCCGCGGUAAUACGGAGGAUCCGAGCGUUAUCCGGAUUUAUUGGGUUUAAAGGGAGCGUAGAUGGGUUGUUAAGUCAGUUGUGAAAGUUUGUGGCUCAACCGUAAAAUUGCAAUUGAAACUGGCAGUCUUGAGUACAGUUGAGGUAAGCGGAAUUCGUGGUGUAGCGGUGAAAUGCUUAGAUAUCACGAAGAACCCCGAUUGCGAAGGCAGCUUACGAAACUGUGACUGACAUUGAUGCUCGAAAGUGUGGGUAUCAAACAGGAUUAGAUACCCCUGUAGUC